This 284-nucleotide ribosomal RNA is filed under the name uncultured Polynucleobacter sp. Its description in RNAcentral is "partial 16S ribosomal RNA". It matches the Rfam family "Bacterial small subunit ribosomal RNA", at positions 1089 to 1382 of the family's 1533-position model. Lineage: Bacteria; Pseudomonadati; Pseudomonadota; Betaproteobacteria; Burkholderiales; Burkholderiaceae. The record is from RNAcentral.
GCAACGAGCGCAACCCUUGCUUAGUUGCUACGCAAGAGCACUCUAAAGAGACUGCCGGUGACAAAACCGGAGGAAGGUGGGGAUGACGUCAAGUCCUCAUGGCCCUUAUGGGUAGGGCUUCACACGUCAUACAAUGGUGCAUACAGAGGGUUGCCAACCGCAGGGGGAGCUAAUCUCAGAAAAUGCAUCGUAGUCCGGAUCGUAGUCUGCAACUCGACUACGUGAAGCUGGAAUCGCUAGUAAUCGCGGAUCAGAAUGUCGCGGUGAAUACGUUCCCGGGUCUU